Non-coding RNA from Podarcis lilfordi (Lilford's wall lizard), 85 nucleotides. The record is from the annotation of a GenBank genome assembly. Lineage: Eukaryota; Metazoa; Chordata; Lepidosauria; Squamata; Lacertidae.
GCUCUGCUACAGACUCAGUGGCUAGAGCGUCUGCUUUGCAUGUAGAAGAUCUCAGGUUCAACCCUCGUCAUCUCUGGGUAGGGCU